This 465-nucleotide ribosomal RNA is filed under the name uncultured bacterium. RNAcentral describes it as "partial 16S ribosomal RNA". It matches the Rfam family "Bacterial small subunit ribosomal RNA", at positions 28 to 507 of the family's 1533-position model. The record is from RNAcentral.
GACGAACGCUGGCGGCGUGCUUAACACAUGCAAGUCGAACGGAAAGGCCCCCUUGUUGGUUACUCGAGUGGCGAACGGGUGAGUAACACGUGAGUAACCUACCCUUGACUUUGGGAUAACUUCAGGAAACUGGGGCUAAUACCGGAUAGGAUCUCCUGCUGCAUGGUGGGGGUUGGAAAGUUUCGGCGGUUGGGGAUGGGCUCGCGGCUUAUCAGCUUGUUCGUGGGGUAGUGGCUCACCAAGGCUUUGACGGGUAGCCGGCCUGAGAGGGUGACCGGCCACAUUGGGACUGAGAUACGGCCCAGACGCCUACGGGAGGCAGCAGUGGGGAAUAUUGCACAAUGGGCGGAAGCCUGAUGCAGCAACGCCGCGUGCGGGAUGACGGCCUUCGGGUUGUAAACCGAUUUCGCAUGUGACGAAGCGUGAGUGACGGUAAUGGGUAAAGAAGCACCGGCUAACUACGUG